Molecule: ribosomal RNA, 530 nt
Filed under: uncultured bacterium
Lineage: Bacteria
Description: partial 16S ribosomal RNA
Rfam family: Bacterial small subunit ribosomal RNA
Source: RNAcentral
UGGGAAUUUUGGACGAUGGGCGCAAGCCUGAUCCAGCAAUGCCGCGUGCAGGAUGAAGGCCUUCGGGUUGUAAACUGCUUUUGUACGGAACGAAAAGCCCUGGGUUAAUACCCUGGGGUCAUGACGGUACCGUAAGAAUAAGCACCGGCUAACUACGUGCCAGCAGCCGCGGUAAUACGUAGGGUGCGAGCGUUAAUCGGAAUUACUGGGCGUAAAGCGUGCGCAGGCGGUUUGUAAGACAGAGGUGAAAUCCCCGGGCUCAACCUGGGAACUGCCUUUGUGACUGCAAGGCUAGAGUACGGCAGAGGGGGAUGGAAUUCCGCGUGUAGCAGUGAAAUGCGUAGAUAUGCGGAGGAACACCGAUGGCGAAGGCAAUCCCCUGGGCCUGUACUGACGCUCAUGCACGAAAGCGUGGGGAGCAAACAGGAUUAGAUACCCUGGUAGUCCACGCCCUAAAGCGAUGUCAACUGGUUGUUGGGUCUUAACUGACUCAGUAACGAAGCUAACGCGUGAACGUUGACCGCCUGGGG